UGCAAGUCGAGCGGAACGACGGGAGCUUGCUCCCGGGCGUCGAGCGGCGGACGGGUGAGUAACGCAUAGGAAUCUGCCCGGUAGUGGGGGAUAACCUGGGGAAACUCAGGCUAAUACCGCAUACGUCCUACGGGAGAAAGCAGGGGACCUUCGGGCCUUGCGCUAUCGGAUGAGCCUAUGCCGGAUUAGCUGGUUGGUGAGGUAACGGCUCACCAAGGCGACGAUCCGUAGCUGGUCUGAGAGGAUGAUCAGCCACAUCGGGACUGAGACACGGCCCGAACUCCUACGGGAGGCAGCAGUGGGGAAUAUUGGACAAUGGGCGCAAGCCUGAUCCAGCCAUGCCGCGUGUGUGAAGAAGGCCCUCGGGUUGUAAAGCACUUUCAGUGGGGAAGAAGGCCUUUCGGUUAAUAGCCGGGAGGAGCGACAUCACCCACAGAAGAAGCACCGGCUAACUCCGUGCCAGCAGCCGCGGUAAUACGGAGGGUGCGAGCGUUAAUCGGAAUUACUGGGCGUAAAGCGCGCGUAGGCGGCGUGAUAAGCCGGUUGUGAAAGCCCCGGGCUCAACCUGGGAACGGCAUCCGGAACUGUCAGGCUAGAGUGCAGGAGAGGAAGGUAGAAUUCCCGGUGUAGCGGUGAAAUGCGUAGAGAUCGGGAGGAAUACCAGUGGCGAAGGCGGCCUUCUGGACUGACACUGACGCUGAGGUGCGAAAGCGUGGGUAGCAAACAGGAUUAGAUACCCUGGUAGUCCACGCCGUAAACGAUGUCGACUAGCC
Molecule: ribosomal RNA, 773 nt
Filed under: Halomonas sp. HDM-39
Lineage: Bacteria; Pseudomonadati; Pseudomonadota; Gammaproteobacteria; Oceanospirillales; Halomonadaceae
Description: bacterial SSU rRNA
Rfam family: Bacterial small subunit ribosomal RNA
Source: RNAcentral